AUGGACUUCAAGCUCCUCCAAGAAUGCCCAUAUGCUUAUUAUGUCCAUUGUUAUGUCCAUCGCUUGCAAGAGUGUCUCCAACAGCUAAGAUCAGAUGAUGGCUACCAAGAAUUUGUUGUCACGGUUGUUGAUUUCUGUACAAACUAUUCCAUUGUCAUUCUAGACUUUGAGGAAGCUUACAUCAUGUAUGGUGGUCGUGCCCGUCAUCAACCCAAUCAGCUGACCAAGGAGCAUUACUUCCGAGUCGAAAUAUUCUAUGCAACACUUGAAACUCAACUAUUUGAACUAAAUCAUAGGUUCAAUGAGAAGGUCGUGGAUCUUCUAACCACUAGUGCCACCUUGAUUCCUAGAAAAAAAAUUAGAGGAUUUAAAGCUAGUGAUAUGUGUGACAUGGUGAAAAAGUACUACCCAUCAGACAUACCCCAACAAGAUAUCUAUGGAUUACAACUACAACUAAGACAUUUUGUUUUGGAUGCUUCCAAGGAUGAAUAUAUGAAAAAUAUAUCAAACUUGAUUGAUCUUUGUCGAUGCCUUGUGGAGUCAGGGAGACAUGUUGUCUUCAGUUUGAUUGAAAUAUUACUCUGUUUGCUCAUUACCCUUCUCGUUUCUACGGCGAGUGCUGAGCGUGCAUUUUCUAGUAUGAAGAUCAUUACAAGGUUGCACAAUACAAUGGAGGAUGACUUUCUUGCCAAUAACUUGUUAGUUAACAUAGAUGGUGACAUUCUGGAGAAGUACAACUAUGAAGAUAUCAUUGAAUAUUUCAAAUGCGUGAAGGAACGGAAAGCUGAUUUGUCGUAUGUAACUCCACACAACCAUGCCUGA
Molecule: ribosomal RNA, 822 nt
Filed under: Triticum aestivum (bread wheat)
Lineage: Eukaryota; Viridiplantae; Streptophyta; Magnoliopsida; Poales; Poaceae
Description: partial small subunit ribosomal RNA
Source: RNAcentral